Long non-coding RNA from Tripterygium wilfordii, 427 nucleotides. RefSeq lists it as uncharacterized. NCBI's taxonomy places the organism in Eukaryota, Viridiplantae, Streptophyta, Magnoliopsida, Celastrales, Celastraceae. The transcript has 3 exons. The record is from RefSeq and is a predicted model, not a curated record.
AUUGAAUCUGGCCUUGUUCGCGGCAAUGUUCAUCUUCAGCAUCUCAAUAGAGAAUUCACAGCAACAGCAGGAUUAUAUCUUCAUUAUUUUAUAAUUAAUGGAGCAAACAACAUAGAGAAAAGCCAAGUUACAGGAGAGCAAGAGGAGACAGCAUCUGCAACUGUGAGGAAGAUACGGUCUUCGCCGAUCAAAUUUUGGAAGUUGGAAGCAUGAAGCUUGUCAAUCACUACUGGACCAGGAUUUGCCAGAACAAGCUGUGAAACAUUGCAGGAACUUCAAGCUUUUGUACAAAUCUUCCAAGGCAUGGAUGCCGCUAGUGUCGAUAUCAGUAACAGCUGAAGCAAACAUAAUACAUGAAAAAGAAAAUAAGUUUCGAGAAAACAAGCUUGAUGAUAUAGAGGAAAGUAGCAUAUAUUGAACUGCUUGA